This 780-nucleotide long non-coding RNA is filed under the name Homo sapiens (human). RNAcentral's name for it is "non-protein coding LINC01333:2". The record is from RNAcentral. Lineage: Eukaryota; Metazoa; Chordata; Mammalia; Primates; Hominidae.
CAGUCACCCCGGCUUCUGAGAUGAAGAAUAUUAUUGAAGUCAAAUCUGGUGGCUAUCACACUCCAUGGAACUUGGGGCAACAUUUAGGUACCUCUACCCAGGAAAGAAUCUCUGAGAAAUAGGUGGCAGUUUCUCUAGCAGCAUAAGAAGAACCUUGAUAAGCAUCAUCCUUAAGUCCUGACAGCAGUGGAUGACUAGUCAGGAACCUGUCCAGGAGGACAUUGACAUGGAUCUGCCAGCUUUCUAAGACUUUCCCCAGAUUCAAGUCCAGUCACAUCAAGUUGCCUUAUUAAAGGGUCUGCCCACUCAAAAGGAGAAAGUGCAAAAGAUGCUCAGCAAGGAAUAUCCAGCACAAUAAGCAUUGAAGAAACAAAUGGCAACGCAAGCUUAAAGAAUUCCAAGCCAUUAUGAACUGACUCUUCAAAUAAGUGCUUAUUUUCACAUAACCAGGGAGUUUCUGGAUUAACUUCCAUAUAAGACAUAUUUAUUAAAAGAUUUGCACCCCUAUUGCUGGCACUGGGUGGACCUCCCCAAACGCUCUGCCCUUGGUGCUCUUCUGCCGGUUAUUCUCGUCCAUGACCCCAGAGCCAGGGAGAAUCUCACCAGUGCAGCCCAGGGCACUUCUGAUAACAUCUGAGCAGAGUGAAGGAGAAGAAACGCACGAGGCAGGCAUCUCAUUUAUGGAAGUGCUCCUCUGGGUCAAGCCCUCUGCCAAUAAUUUUCAUGCAUAAUGGCCCUUUCAUUCUCCCCAAAAAUUCUUCAAGGGAGGGUGAUAAUCCC